UACAGAGGUCCCAAGCGUUGUUCGGAUUCACUGGGCGUAAAGGGUGCGUAGGUGGCGAGGUAAGUCGGAUGUGAAAGCUCGGAGCUCAACUCCGAAAUGGCAUUGGAAACUACCUUGCUCGAGGGUUGGAAGGGGGACUGGAAUUCUCGGUGUAGCAGUGAAAUGCGUAGAUAUCGGGAGGAACACCAGUGGCGAAGGCGGCUACCUGGCCCACUCUUGACGCUGAGGCGCGAAAGCUAGGGGAGCAAACGGG
Molecule: ribosomal RNA, 253 nt
Filed under: uncultured bacterium
Lineage: Bacteria
Description: partial 16S ribosomal RNA
Rfam family: Bacterial small subunit ribosomal RNA
Source: RNAcentral